This 1352-nucleotide ribosomal RNA is filed under the name Lactiplantibacillus plantarum. RNAcentral describes it as "bacterial SSU rRNA". It matches the Rfam family "Bacterial small subunit ribosomal RNA", at positions 69 to 1397 of the family's 1533-position model. Lineage: Bacteria; Bacillati; Bacillota; Bacilli; Lactobacillales; Lactobacillaceae. The record is from RNAcentral.
UGAUUGGUGCUUGCAUCAUGAUUUACAUUUGCCUGAGUGGCGAACUGGUGAGUAACACGUGGGAAACCUGCCCAGAAGCGGGGGAUAACACCUGGAAACAGAUGCUAAUACCGCAUAACAACUUGGACCGCAUGGUCCGAGUUUGAAAGAUGGCUUCGGCUAUCACUUUUGGAUGGUCCCGCGGCGUAUUAGCUAGAUGGUGGGGUAACGGCUCACCAUGGCAAUGAUACGUAGCCGACCUGAGAGGGUAAUCGGCCACAUUGGGACUGAGACACGGCCCAAACUCCUACGGGAGGCAGCAGUAGGGAAUCUUCCACAAUGGACGAAAGUCUGAUGGAGCAACGCCGCGUGAGUGAAGAAGGGUUUCGGCUCGUAAAACUCUGUUGUUAAAGAAGAACAUAUCUGAGAGUAACUGUUCAGGUAUUGACGGUAUUUAACCAGAAAGCCACGGCUAACUACGUGCCAGCAGCCGCGGUAAUACGUAGGUGGCAAGCGUUGUCCGGAUUUAUUGGGCGUAAAGCGAGCGCAGGCGGUUUUUUAAGUCUGAUGUGAAAGCCUUCGGCUCAACCGAAGAAGUGCAUCGGAAACUGGGAAACUUGAGUGCAGAAGAGGACAGUGGAACUCCAUGUGUAGCGGUGAAAUGCGUAGAUAUAUGGAAGAACACCAGUGGCGAAGGCGGCUGUCUGGUCUGUAACUGACGCUGAGGCUCGAAAGUAUGGGUAGCAAACAGGAUUAGAUACCCUGGUAGUCCAUACCGUAAACGAUGAAUGCUAAGUGUUGGAGGGUUUCCGCCCUUCAGUGCUGCAGCUAACGCAUUAAGCAUUCCGCCUGGGGAGUACGGCCGCAAGGCUGAAACUCAAAGGAAUUGACGGGGGGCCCGCACAAGCGGUGGAGCAUGUGGUUUAAUUCGAAGCUACGCGAAGAACCUUACCAGGUCUUGACAUACUAUGCAAAUCUAAGAGAUUAGACGUUCCCUUCGGGGACAUGGAUACAGGUGGUGCAUGGUUGUCGUCAGCUCGUGUCGUGAGAUGUUGGGUUAAGUCCCGCAACGAGCGCAACCCUUAUUAUCAGUUGCCAGCAUUAAGUUGGGCACUCUGGUGAGACUGCCGGUGACAAACCGGAGGAAGGUGGGGAUGACGUCAAAUCAUCAUGCCCCUUAUGACCUGGGCUACACACGUGCUACAAUGGAUGGUACAACGAGUUGCGAACUCGCGAGAGUAAGCUAAUCUCUUAAAGCCAUUCUCAGUUCGGAUUGUAGGCUGCAACUCGCCUACAUGAAGUCGGAAUCGCUAGUAAUCGCGGAUCAGCAUGCCGCGGUGAAUACGUUCCCGGGCCUUGUACACACCGCCCGU